This is a long non-coding RNA of Equus caballus (horse), 1578 nucleotides long. The record is from Ensembl. NCBI's taxonomy places the organism in Eukaryota, Metazoa, Chordata, Mammalia, Perissodactyla, Equidae.
GAGUAUCACCCCGCAGAUGACUUGAUUAUGAACAAGAAAAAUAUACCUUACAAUGAAGAAAUCCAGCAGUCACCAACUUAACUUAGUGAUCACGCUUAGCACUACUAAUGGUGGAACAACCUGGCUUUAUAGGCCUCUUGAUUUGAUGCAACAUGAUGUAACAGUAUCACCUAUGAAGGAACCUUGCCAAAAGUGCUUAACCUGAAUAUAAUCAAGCCUUUUGACCCAACUUCCAGUUUACAGGAAAUGCACGGAGAGAGGAACAACUACAAUGAUCCUGGGAGGAGAAUCAGACAAAUCCAGAAUGUGGGACAUUCUAUAAGAAAACUGGCCUAAAUUCUUCAACAGGGAGUUGAAAGUGAUUUUUCCACUUUGUGUGCAGUUUCUGUAAGGGAGGAAGAAGCUUCACAUAACAACCUAUGAUUUGUACCCGCCUCUGCCUUGUUGUCAAGCCUCUACCUCUGACAAUGACCAUAUCCCCCUUCCUUCAUUUAGAAGGCCUUUGGAGUGGCCACUGUUGCUGUGGUUUCUCAACUGGCUCGAGAUUAAAGUUGGGCUUCUGUUAUCCCGAAGCCACUGAGACCACACCUGUCAAGAUGACCAGUGAUGUCUGCGUGGCCCCAGUCCAGUGAUUCCUGCUCUAUUCUGAACUCAGCUGGCCUUGCAGCAGCAUUUGACAGAGCUGACCAUGCCGAGAGUUGGAGGGAGAGCCUUCCAGGGAGAGGGGAUUGCAAACACAAAGGUCCAGAGAUGGGAACAUGCUUAGUGGGAUCAAGAGACAGAAAAAAAAAAGGCUGGUGUGGCUGGAGCACAGAGAGGGAGGGGUAUGAGCUGAGCAGGCAAGGGUCUGCAGGGGCCAAGUCACGUGGUGCCUUGUCAACUAGAGUAAAUCUUCAGCGCCUGGCCUAGCCCAGGACAGGUGCCCAAGGUUAGUCUUAUCAUUGUUAUUAUUAAGAGCUUAAUAGCACACAGUGUGAGAGAGUGGGAAGGGGGCCUGGUAGGGAAAAGAAGAGAAAAUGCCAGGCCUUGAAUAGCUUCCUGUCUAGUUGAGGGUCUAGGUUAUACCUGUUUCGUAGGUAAGUGGACAAGACAGCCUGCAUGCUGAUUUCUUGACUAUCCAUUUGUCUUUAUUGCCCUCCCCACCACAUACACACUUUCCUGGUGAAUUAUGUCCCAUCUAGGGAUUCUCUCGGGAUAAUUAAGGUUUAAUUUUUCACUUGAAAGAGAGCAAAAGUGGGCUGUGAGUCUCAGUGAAGAAAGAGAUGACUAAGAAUAUACCAGCCAUGAGAUCACAGUGUGGGCUGGGGACAGAGACAGCCCUGGUGUCCUCUCUGCUUUUCCAGACUACUCAGAGUAAACCCCUCCAAAUAAAUAAGAACUGGUCUCUGCUGCUUCAUUUGAACUGAGCUGCGAAUCACACAAAAGAAAUCAGACUCUAGAAGCAGCCCUUUGGAUUCCUGAUGCAACAUGCGUGACCUAAAGCAGGUGUGUUUUUAUCUUCUUGGUGUCCUUGCCACACACAUCCCUACCAUAGGCAUGCUUGCAGGUGCAUGCACACACACACUCAACACCCCCCCC